RNAcentral lists this ribosomal RNA (301 nucleotides) under uncultured bacterium. RNAcentral describes it as "partial 16S ribosomal RNA". It matches the Rfam family "Bacterial small subunit ribosomal RNA", at positions 509 to 807 of the family's 1533-position model. The record is from RNAcentral.
CAGCCGCCGCGGGAACACGGAGGGGGCUAGCGUUGUUCGGAAUUACUGGGCGUAGAGCGCACGUAGGCGGCUUGGUAAGUUAGAGGUGAAAGCCCGGAGCUCAACUCCGGAAUUGCCUUUAAGACUGCCGAGCUAGUAGGUGAGAGAGGUAAGUGGAAUUCCGAGUGUAGAGGUGAAAUUCGUAGAUAUUCGGAAGAACACCAGUGGCGAAGGCGGCUUACUGGCUCAUUCUAGACGCUGAGGUGCGAAAGCGUGGGGAGCAAACAGGAUUAGAUACCCCCGUAGUCCCUGUCUCUUAUAC